GCUUACUAACACAAUCUCCACUGUAACAAAGUAAAAGAGGAAAUCUUGGUCAAUCUCUGUGACAAGGCAUCUGUAAUCCAAGAACUCAGACUGCAAUGGAUCUAUUCUUUAAAAUGCAACAACACAACACUUCAACAAAACAUAAAAGUGAAGCCUUAAAGAAAAUAGGAUGAUUCUCACACAAGAAAUGAAAUCACUGAGACCCAGAAAUGGACCACAACUGUACCCAGCUGGCCAGUGGCCAUACUGGAAUUAGACAGUACUGUAAAUCUCUUCUGAGAACAUAAUAUUGUGUAUCUACACACCAGCUGGUGUAUAAAUCCAGGGAGAAACGAGAUGGAAAUCAUGUGGAAGAAUGAGAUUUGAAAGUUCCAUUUUAGUGAUGUGUGAGCUAAUAUUAAGAAUAAUUGCAUAUAUUGAGGAUGUACUCCCAAGUGAAAUAACUCUGCGUCAAACUUCAGGCUGGAGAGACCUUCCAUCAGGUGCUUUCUAUCCAUUGGCAACUUACCAGCACAAAGCCCUUCAUAUGCCCAUUCUCACCCUUUGGAAUUCUCAUAUCAUUUAUGAGAUGGAAGCUUGCUGCUCAGCAGGAGUUCCUUAUUAUAUAAAAUUCAGAAGACUAUGUUAGAAGAAGCAUUUUCUGGGCCAAAAGAAAAAAGAAAGAAGGUGCUCAGAUGCAGCAAACAGUACUUGUGUUCCAGGAGGUAGAAGAAAAAAAGAAUCAAUUGAAUAAGCAGAGAAAGCUGUCUAACCCUCUUUUGAGCCUCCAUCCAAAGUGAGAGAACAGCAGGGGACAAAGACCAAAGGCAGAUUGUUCUCCUUUAGAGAAACACGAGGCCAAAGAAAAUAUUUCCACUGCUCCUAAAGAGAUGAACAGUACUGAAUGUCUGAAAAAUGUGCAAAAGGAGCUUAGAAAAAAAAAAAAAACUGUCUCACAGGCAUUUGGUCUUCACCGGACUGUGAGAAGAAAAGACAGCUUCACGUAUCUACCAAGGAGCCUCACUCCACAGAAGCUUCUGAGAGUGAAACAAGACCGAAUCAGAAAUCAAGGC
Long non-coding RNA from Fukomys damarensis (Damara mole-rat), 1052 nucleotides. RefSeq lists it as uncharacterized. Lineage: Eukaryota; Metazoa; Chordata; Mammalia; Rodentia; Bathyergidae. The record is from RefSeq and is a predicted model, not a curated record. The transcript has 5 exons.